UUCCAGACUCCUACGGGAGGCAGCAGUGGGGAAUAUUGCACAAUGGGGGAAACCCUGAUGCAGCGACGCCGCGUGAGUGAAGAAGCGUUUCGGCGCGUAAAGCUCUGUCAGCGGGGAAGAAACACGGUUCGCGAGAGCCGCGGACGGUACCCGACCAAGAAGCCCCGGCUAACUACGUGCCAGCAGCCGCGGUAAUACGUAGGGGGCAAGCGUUAUCCGGAUUUACUGGGUGUAAAGGGAGCGUAGACGGCAGCACAAGUCUGGAGUGAAAUGCCGGGGCUUAACCCCGGAACUGCUUUGGAAACUGUGCAGCUAGAGUGCAGGAGAGGUAAGUGGAAUUCCUAGUGUAGCGGUGAAAUGCGUAGAUAUUAGGAGGAACACCAGUGGCGAAGGCGGCUUACUGGACUGUAACUGACGUUGAGGCUCGAAAGCGUGGGGAGCAAACAGGAUUAGAUACCCUGGUACA
RNAcentral lists this ribosomal RNA (466 nucleotides) under uncultured bacterium. Its description in RNAcentral is "bacterial SSU rRNA". It matches the Rfam family "Bacterial small subunit ribosomal RNA", at positions 329 to 794 of the family's 1533-position model. The record is from RNAcentral.